This 324-nucleotide unclassified non-coding RNA is filed under the name uncultured Phyllactinia. RNAcentral describes it as "sequence contains ITS1". The stretch from base 1 to 105 matches the Rfam family "5.8S ribosomal RNA", at positions 50 to 154 of the family's 154-position model. The record is from RNAcentral. Lineage: Eukaryota; Fungi; Ascomycota; Leotiomycetes; Helotiales; Erysiphaceae.
GAAAUGCGAUAAGUAAUGUGAAUUGCAGAAUCUAGUGAAUCAUCGAAUCUUUGAACGCACAUUGCGCCCCUUGGUAUUCCGAGGGGCAUGCCUGUUCGAGCGUCAAAACAACCCCUCAAGCCGCUUUGGUUUGGUCUUGGGGCGCGCCCGUGAGAGCGCGGCGGCCCUUAAACUCAGUGGCGGUACCGGUGGUGCACUCCGCGUAGUCACGUUUCUCGCGACAGGACGGCACUGGAACCAGCCAAAAGACGACGGACGCUGAUGCAUCUGUCACGCUUCUCAAUGGUUGACCUCGAAUCAGGUAGGGAUACCCGCUGAACUUAA